This 256-nucleotide ribosomal RNA is filed under the name uncultured bacterium. RNAcentral describes it as "partial 16S ribosomal RNA". It matches the Rfam family "Bacterial small subunit ribosomal RNA", at positions 793 to 1055 of the family's 1533-position model. The record is from RNAcentral.
GUCCACGCCGUAAACGAUGCUCACUCGCUGUUUGCGAUACACAGCAAGCGGCCAAGCGAAAGCAUUAAGUGAGCCACCUGGGGAGUACGAUCGCAAGGUUGAAACUCAAAGGAAUUGACGGGGCCCGCACAAGCGGAGGAACAUGUGGUUUAAUUCGAUGAUACGCGAGGAACCUUACCUGGGCUUAAAUGCAGAAUGACAGAUUGUGAAAGCAGUCCUUCUUCGGACAUUCUGCAAGGUGCUGCAUGGUUGUCGU